This 495-nucleotide ribosomal RNA is filed under the name Sandelia capensis. Its description in RNAcentral is "partial 12S ribosomal RNA". It matches the Rfam family "Bacterial small subunit ribosomal RNA", at positions 801 to 1533 of the family's 1533-position model. The record is from RNAcentral. Lineage: Eukaryota; Metazoa; Chordata; Actinopteri; Anabantiformes; Anabantidae.
UAAACAUUGAUAGUUCAGUACAUCUACUAUCCGCCCGGGAACUACGAGCAUCAGCUUGAAACCCAAAGGACUUGGCGGUGCUUAAGAUCCACCUAGAGGAGCCUGUUCUAGAACCGAUAACCCCCGUUCAACCUCACCCUCCCUUGUUUAUCCCGCCUAUAUACCGCCGUCGUCAGCUUACCCUGUGAAGGAUAAAUAGUAAGCAAAACUGGCUUAACCCAAAACGUCAGGUCGAGGUGUAGCGCAUGAGAGGGGAAGAAAUGGGCUACAUUUACUAACUUAGUAAAUACGAAUAAUGCACUGAAAUAUACAUUUGAAGGAGGAUUUAGCAGUAAGCAGAAAAUAGAGCGUUCUGCUGAAACCGGCCCUAAAGCGCGCACACACCGCCCGUCACUCUCCCCAAGCUACCAAACCAACAUAAUUAAUACCCUAUAACUGCAAAGGGGAGGCAAGUCGUAACAUGGUAAGUGUACCGGAAGGUGCACUUGGAAAAAU